GUGGUAACACUAAAACUGUGUUAUUUGGGAAAGUUUUUUGAAAAACGCACUCUGUCACACACUCAACAAAAACUAAAGCAAGUUGCGUUCUUUUAAUAAAAAAAAUGAAAGUCGGAUUUGGAAACAGAUAAAUACACAAGAUCGUCUUUCAAGAAUCCAUCUGUGUUUUACCCAGCCGUCCGUUUAAAUUCCGUGGUGGGUAAUAACCAAAAGGUUUAAAAUAAUUAACUAAAGGUAUAUAUAGGUAUCUUAUUCUCACCAAAAUUCACAAAUAGAAAAGAAAAAAAAAAUCUCAAACUCUCGCUUCUCUCUUUUACAGAAAAAGUACUCUCUACAAGUUUUG
This 343-nucleotide long non-coding RNA is filed under the name Capsella rubella. RNAcentral's name for it is "long non-coding RNA (CRUB_LNC001556)". Lineage: Eukaryota; Viridiplantae; Streptophyta; Magnoliopsida; Brassicales; Brassicaceae. The record is from RNAcentral.